This 501-nucleotide ribosomal RNA is filed under the name uncultured bacterium. Its description in RNAcentral is "partial 16S ribosomal RNA". It matches the Rfam family "Bacterial small subunit ribosomal RNA", at positions 30 to 523 of the family's 1533-position model. The record is from RNAcentral.
AUUGAACGCUGGCGGCAGGCUUAACACAUGCAAGUCGAGCGGGGAAGGGUAGCUUGCUACCUAACCUAGCGGCGGACGGGUGAGUAAUGCUUAGGAAUCUGCCAUUUAGUGGGGGACAACAUUCCGAAAGGAAUGCUAAUACCGCAUACGUCCUACGGGAGAAAGCAGGGGAUCUUCGGACCUUGCGCUAAAUGAUGAGCCUAAGUCGGAUUAGCGAGUUGGUGGGGUAAAGGCCUACCAAGGCGACGAUCUGUAGCGGGUCUGAGAGGAUGAUCCGCCACACUGGGACUGAGACACGGCCCAGACUCCUACGGGAGGCAGCAGUGGGGAAUAUUGGACAAUGGGCGGAAGCCUGAUCCAGCCAUGCCGCGUGUGUGAAGAAGGCCUUAUGGUUGUAAAGCACUUUAAGCGAGGAGGAGGCUACUCUAGUUAAUACCUAGGGAUAGUGGACGUUACUCGCAGAAUAAGCACCGGCUAACUCUGUGCCAGCCGCCGCGGUAA